UACGGAGGGUGCAAGCGUUAUCCGGAUUUAUUGGGCUUAAAGGGUCCGUAGGCGGAUCUGUAAGUCAGUGGUGAAAUCUCACAGCUUAACUGUGAAACUGCCAUUGAUACUGCAGGUCUUGAGUGUUAUUGAAGUAGCUGGAAUAAGUAGUGUAGCGGUGAAAUGCAUAGAUAUUACUUAGAACACCAAUUGCGAAGGCAGGUUACUAAGCAACAACUGACGCUGAUGGACGAAAGCGUGGGGAGCGAACAGG
This 253-nucleotide ribosomal RNA is filed under the name uncultured bacterium. RNAcentral describes it as "partial 16S ribosomal RNA". It matches the Rfam family "Bacterial small subunit ribosomal RNA", at positions 524 to 776 of the family's 1533-position model. The record is from RNAcentral.